Molecule: long non-coding RNA, 373 nt
Filed under: Trifolium pratense (red clover)
Lineage: Eukaryota; Viridiplantae; Streptophyta; Magnoliopsida; Fabales; Fabaceae
Description: long non-coding RNA (TPRA_LNC013542)
Source: RNAcentral
CACUAGAAUUUAUUCUUCCUUAAAUUGUAUUUGGUUUUCUUAUCAAUUAGAAACAACAAAUAGUAGCUUCCAUUGUAAUUGUAAAGGAAAUUCUAUUUUGCAUACUGAUGGUUGUUCCUUUAAUGAAAUUUAAACCAAGCGAAGGAGUGCAAAAAAUAGAUCAAAAGAGUUUUUUUUUUUUUUCCACUCCUUAAACUUCUUGCACCCCUCUGAGUUUUCAAAAAUGCCCUGCUCGAUUUUUAGAAGACAACUUCAAGAUCUUCAUUAGACCAAUUCACCCCAACACCACUCGGAGUCGGGAUCUUGAUUUUUUUUUAUUAUGUCCCCCAAUUUUUUUAUUACGGCAAUACCCCCAAUCCAAAAAUAUUUCUGU